UCGAACGAUGAACUCCAGCUUGCUGGGGGGAUUAGUGGCGAACGGGUGAGUAACACGUGAGUAACCUGCCCUUGACUCUGGGAUAAGCGCUGGAAACGGCGUCUAAUACCGGAUACGAGCUUCAGCCGCAUGGCUAGGAGUUGGAAAGAAUUUCGGUCAAGGAUGGACUCGCGGCCUAUCAGCUAGUUGGUGAGGUAAUGGCUCACCAAGGCGACGACGGGUAGCCGGCCUGAGAGGGUGACCGGCCACACUGGGACUGAGACACGGCCCAGACUCCUACGGGAGGCAGCAGUGGGGAAUAUUGCACAAUGGGCGCAAGCCUGAUGCAGCAACGCCGCGUGAGGGACGACGGCCUUCGGGUUGUAAACCUCUUUUAGUAGGGAAGAAGCGAAAGUGACGGUACCUGCAGAAAAAGCACCGGCUAACUACGUGCCAGCAGCCGCGGUAAUACGUAGGGUGCAAGCGUUGUCCGGAAUUAUUGGGCGUAAAGAGCUCGUAGGCGGUUUGUCGCGUCUGCUGUGAAAUCUGGGGGCUCAACCCCCAGCCUGCAGUGGGUACGGGCAGACUAGAGUGCGGUAGGGGAGAUUGGAAUUCCUGGUGUAGCGGUGGAAUGCGCAGAUAUCAGGAGGAACACCGAUGGCGAAGGCAGAUCUCUGGGCCGUAACUGACGCUGAGGAGCGAAAGCAUGGGGAGCGAACAGGAUUAGAUACCCUGGUAGUCCAUGCCGUAAACGUUGGGAACUAGAUGUGGGGACCAUUCCACGGUCUCCGUGUCGCAGCUAACGCAUUAAGUUCCCCGCCU
RNAcentral lists this ribosomal RNA (801 nucleotides) under Frigoribacterium sp. B045F. RNAcentral's name for it is "bacterial SSU rRNA". It matches the Rfam family "Bacterial small subunit ribosomal RNA", at positions 62 to 874 of the family's 1533-position model. The record is from RNAcentral. RNAcentral also lists the same sequence under 5 other names. Lineage: Bacteria; Bacillati; Actinomycetota; Actinomycetes; Micrococcales; Microbacteriaceae.